Molecule: ribosomal RNA, 1384 nt
Filed under: uncultured bacterium
Lineage: Bacteria
Description: partial 16S ribosomal RNA
Rfam family: Bacterial small subunit ribosomal RNA (bases 674-1384)
Source: RNAcentral
ACGCUGGCGGCGUGCUAACACAUGCAAGUCGAACGAUGAUAGAGAGCUUGCUUUUCUUGAUUAGUGGCGCACGGGUGAGUAAUGCAUAGAUAAUGUGCCCCUUAGUUCGGGAUAGCCACUGGAAACGGUGAUUAAUACCGGAUACUCCUUCUUGUUAUAAGACAAGUCGGGAAAGUUUUUCGCUAAGGGAUCAGUCUAUGUUCCAUCAGCUUGUUGGUGAGGUAAUGGCUCACCAAGGCUAUGACGGAUAUCUGGUUUGAGAGGAUGAUCAGACACACUGGAACUGAGACACGGUCCAGACUCCUACGGGAGGCAGCAGUGAGGAAUAUUGCAUAAUGGAGGAAACUCUGAUGCAGCAACGCCGCGUGGAGGAUGACGCAUUUCGGUGUGUAAACUCCUUUUAUUAGGGAAGAUAAUGACGGUACCUAAUGAAUAAGCACCGGCUAACUCCGUGCCAGCAGCCGCGGUAAUACGGAGGGUGCAAGCGUUACUCGGAAUCACUGGGCGUAAAGGGUGCGUAGGCUGGCUUUUAAGUCAGAUGUGAAAUCCAAUGGCUCAACCAUUGAACUGCAUUUGAAACUGAAAGCCUAGAGUUCAGAAGGGGCAGAUGGAAUUAGUGGUGUAGUGGUAAAAUCCGUAGAUAUCACUAGGAAUAUCAAAAGCGAAGGCGAUCUGCUGGGAUGAUACUGACGACGCUGGCGGCGUGCUAACACAUGCAAGUCGAACGAUGAUAGAGAGCUUGCUUUUCUUGAUUAGUGGCGCACGGGUGAGUAAUGCAUAGAUAAUGUGCCCCUUAGUUCGGGAUAGCCACUGGAAACGGUGAUUAAUACCGGAUACUCCUUCUUGUUAUAAGACAAGUCGGGAAAGUUUUUCGCUAAGGGAUCAGUCUAUGUUCCAUCAGCUUGUUGGUGAGGUAAUGGCUCACCAAGGCUAUGACGGAUAUCUGGUUUGAGAGGAUGAUCAGACACACUGGAACUGAGACACGGUCCAGACUCCUACGGGAGGCAGCAGUGAGGAAUAUUGCAUAAUGGAGGAAACUCUGAUGCAGCAACGCCGCGUGGAGGAUGACGCAUUUCGGUGUGUAAACUCCUUUUAUUAGGGAAGAUAAUGACGGUACCUAAUGAAUAAGCACCGGCUAACUCCGUGCCAGCAGCCGCGGUAAUACGGAGGGUGCAAGCGUUACUCGGAAUCACUGGGCGUAAAGGGUGCGUAGGCUGGCUUUUAAGUCAGAUGUGAAAUCCAAUGGCUCAACCAUUGAACUGCAUUUGAAACUGAAAGCCUAGAGUUCAGAAGGGGCAGAUGGAAUUAGUGGUGUAGUGGUAAAAUCCGUAGAUAUCACUAGGAAUAUCAAAAGCGAAGGCGAUCUGCUGGGAUGAUACUGACG